RNAcentral lists this transfer RNA (73 nucleotides) under Sus scrofa (pig). It matches the Rfam family "tRNA". Rfam says of the family: Transfer RNA (tRNA) molecules are approximately 80 nucleotides in length. Their secondary structure includes four short double-helical elements and three loops (D, anti-codon, and T loops). Lineage: Eukaryota; Metazoa; Chordata; Mammalia; Artiodactyla; Suidae. The record is from Rfam by way of RNAcentral.
UCCCUGGUAGCCUAGCAGUUAAGGAUCCAGCAUUGUUACUGCAGUGGUUCAGGUUUGAUCCCUGGCCUGGGAA